AAAUUUAUAGAUUUUCAAAUUUCAGCCGACACGUGUUUCAGUGUUUUCAACAAAAAUCUACCAUUUGGGAACUAUGAACGUUUUAAGUGCGAGCUAUGUCAGCCGUAACUCGGUAAAUAUAGCGGAAAGAAACUU
Molecule: long non-coding RNA, 135 nt
Organism: Bradysia coprophila
Lineage: Eukaryota; Metazoa; Arthropoda; Insecta; Diptera; Sciaridae
Source: RefSeq, a predicted model, not a curated record